GUAUCUGUGGCGCAAUUGGUUAGCGCGUUCGGCUGUUAACCGAAAGGUUUCUGGUUCAAGCCCAGCCAGGGACG
Molecule: non-coding RNA, 74 nt
Organism: Ciona savignyi (Pacific transparent sea squirt)
Lineage: Eukaryota; Metazoa; Chordata; Ascidiacea; Phlebobranchia; Cionidae
Source: Rfam